UACGAAGGGGGCUAGCGUUGUUCGGAAUUACUGGGCGUAAAGCGUAUGCAGGCGGAUCGUUAAGUCGGGGGUGAAAUCCCGAGGCUCAACCUCGGAACUGCCUUCGAUACUGGCGAUCUUGAGUCCGGGAGAGGUGAGUGGAACUCCGAGUGUAGAGGUGAAAUUCGUAGAUAUUCGGAAGAACACCAGUGGCGAAGGCGACACACUGGCCCGUAACUGACGCUGAGGCGCGAAAGCGUGGGGAGCAAACAGG
RNAcentral lists this ribosomal RNA (253 nucleotides) under uncultured bacterium. RNAcentral describes it as "partial 16S ribosomal RNA". It matches the Rfam family "Bacterial small subunit ribosomal RNA", at positions 524 to 776 of the family's 1533-position model. The record is from RNAcentral.